CCUACGGGAGGCAGCAGUGAGGAAUAUUGGUCAAUGGACGAGAGUCUGAACCAGCCAAGUAGCGUGAAGGAUGACUGCCCUAUGGGUUGUAAACUUCUUUUAUAUGGGAAUAAACUGUUCCACGUGUGGGAUUUUGUAUGUACCAUAUGAAUAAGGAUCGGCUAACUCCGUGCCAGCAGCCGCGGUAAUACGGAGGGUCCGAGCGUUAUCCGGAUUUGUUUGGGUUAAAGGGAGCGUAGGGGGUUUGUUAAGUCAGUUGUGAAAGUUUGCGGCUCAACCGUACAAUUGCAGUUGAAACUGGCAGGCUUGAGUACAGUAGAGGUGGGCAGAAUUCGUGGUGUAGCGGUGAAAUGCUUAGAUAUCACGAAGAACUCCGAUUGCGAAGGCAGUUCACUGGACUGCAACUGACACUGAGGUUCGAAAGUGUGGGUAUCAAACAGGAUUAGAUACCCCAGUAGUC
Molecule: ribosomal RNA, 460 nt
Filed under: uncultured bacterium
Lineage: Bacteria
Description: partial 16S ribosomal RNA
Rfam family: Bacterial small subunit ribosomal RNA
Source: RNAcentral